RNAcentral lists this ribosomal RNA (492 nucleotides) under uncultured bacterium. Its description in RNAcentral is "partial 16S ribosomal RNA". It matches the Rfam family "Bacterial small subunit ribosomal RNA", at positions 29 to 507 of the family's 1533-position model. The record is from RNAcentral.
AGUGAACGCUGGCGGUAGGCCUAACACAUGCAAGUCGAACGGCAGCACAGUAAGAGCUUGCUCUUACGGGUGGCGAGUGGCGGACGGGUGAGGAAUACAUCGGAAUCUACUUUUUCGUGGGGGAUAACGUAGGGAAACUUACGCUAAUACCGCAUACGACCUACGGGUGAAAGCAGGGGAUCUUCGGACCUUGCGCGAUUGAAUGAGCCGAUGUCGGAUUAGCUAGUUGGCGGGGUAAAGGCCCACCAAGGCGACGAUCCGUAGCUGGUCUGAGAGGAUGAUCGGCCACACUGGAACUGCGACACGGUCCAUACCCCUACGGGAGGCAGCGUUGGGGAAUUUUGGGCCAUGGGCGCAAUCCUGAUCCAGCCAUACCGCGUGGGUUAAGAAGGCCUUCGGGUUGUAGAGCCCUUUUGUUGGGAAAGAAAAUCAGCCGGUUAAUACCCCGCUGUUCUGACGGUACCCACAGAAUAAGCACCGGCUAACUUCGUG